Molecule: long non-coding RNA, 308 nt
Filed under: Anas platyrhynchos platyrhynchos (common mallard)
Lineage: Eukaryota; Metazoa; Chordata; Aves; Anseriformes; Anatidae
Description: lncRNA (ENSAPLG00000019135.1)
Source: RNAcentral
AUUUGACCUGACAAUGAUGUUGAAGUGCCUUAGUGACUACAUUGCAGCUUGGGAAACUUCUGUGCUUGGCAUUUAGCCAUAGCUGAUCCCUCGGUUCAUGGUUGGUGGUGUCCAGCAGACAGAAUACAGCAGAUGCUGAGACAAUAAGUCAUCACACUUUGGCUACUUCUAGAGACAGACAAAGUGAAGAUAAACAAGAAGAGAUGGAGAUCUGUUGAUGAUGCUGUAUGAUGACACAUUUACACCUUUAGAGGACAGACAUAAAAAUGGAAUCGCACUGACCAGCACAUGUUGGAUGACCAUAUCUA